AUUCCAGCUCCAAUAGCGUAUAUUUAAGUUGCUGCAGUUAAAAAGCUCGUAGUUGGAUUUCGGGUGGGAAUGGCCGGUCCGCCGUUUCGGUGUGCACUUGCUAGUCCCACCUUGCUGCCGGGGACGUGCUCUUGGGUUUCGGCUCGGGACACGGAGUCGGCGAGGUUACUUUGAGUAAAUUAGAGUGUUCAAAGCAGGCCUACGCUCUGAAUACAUUAGCAUGGAAUAACACGAUAGGACUCUGGCCUAUCUUGUUGGUCUGUAGGACCGGAGUAAUGAUUAAGAGGGACAGUCGGGGGCAUUCGUAUUUCAUUGUCAGAGGUGAAAUUCUUGGAUUUAUGAAAGACGAACUACUGCGAAAGCAUUUGCCAAGGAUGUUUUCAUCG
Molecule: ribosomal RNA, 386 nt
Filed under: Picochlorum sp.
Lineage: Eukaryota; Viridiplantae; Chlorophyta; Trebouxiophyceae
Description: partial small subunit ribosomal RNA
Rfam family: Eukaryotic small subunit ribosomal RNA
Source: RNAcentral